This 280-nucleotide ribosomal RNA is filed under the name uncultured bacterium. RNAcentral describes it as "partial 16S ribosomal RNA". It matches the Rfam family "Bacterial small subunit ribosomal RNA", at positions 506 to 784 of the family's 1533-position model. The record is from RNAcentral.
UGCCAGCAGCCGCGGUAACACGUAGGGGGCGAGCGUUGUCCGGAUUUAUUGGGCGUAAAGAGCUCGUAGGCCGCUUGGUAAGUCGGGUGUGAAAUUUCGAGGCUCAACCUCGAAACGCCAUCCGAUACUGCUAUGGCUAGAGUCCGGUAGAGGAGCGUGGAAUUCCUGGUGUAGCGGUGAAAUGCGCAGAUAUCAGGAGGAACACCAACGGCGAAGGCAGCGCUCUGGGCCGGUACUGACGCUGAGGAGCGAAAGCGUGGGGAGCAAACAGGAUUAGAUA